This 63-nucleotide transfer RNA is filed under the name Fukomys damarensis (Damara mole-rat). It matches the Rfam family "tRNA", at positions 5 to 66 of the family's 71-position model. Rfam says of the family: Transfer RNA (tRNA) molecules are approximately 80 nucleotides in length. Their secondary structure includes four short double-helical elements and three loops (D, anti-codon, and T loops). The record is from Rfam by way of RNAcentral. Lineage: Eukaryota; Metazoa; Chordata; Mammalia; Rodentia; Bathyergidae.
AUGUAGCUCAAUGAUAAAGCCCUUGCCUGGCAUGCAUGAGGCCCUGGGUUCAACUCCCAGCAU